RNAcentral lists this ribosomal RNA (513 nucleotides) under uncultured bacterium. Its description in RNAcentral is "partial 16S ribosomal RNA". It matches the Rfam family "Bacterial small subunit ribosomal RNA", at positions 29 to 523 of the family's 1533-position model. The record is from RNAcentral.
AACGAACGCUGGCGGCGUGGAUAAGACAUGCAAGUCGAACGGGACAGGUAGCAAUAUCUGUCUAGUGGCGAACGGGUGCGAAACACGUGGGCAACAUGCCUGGAAGAGCGGGAUAGCCCGGGGAAACUCGGAUUAAUACCGCAUGUGACAACGGGGCGGCUUCGCCCUGUUUUCAAAGGUGGGGACCGCAAGGCCUGCCGCUUCCAGAUUGGCCCGCGUCCUAUCAGCUAGUUGGCGGGGUAAAAGCCCACCAAGGCGACGACGGGUAGCUGGUCUGAGAGGACGACCAGCCACACUGGAACUGAGACACGGUCCAGACACCUACGGGUGGCAGCAGUCGAGAAUCUUUCACAAUGGGGGAAACCCUGAUGGAGCGACGCCGCGUGGAGGAUGACGGUCUCCGGAUUGUAAACUCCUGUCAUGAAAGAACAAGCGGAGCGGGUGAACAGCCCGCCGAGUUGAUAGUAUUUCAAGAGGAGGGGACGGCUAACUUCGUGCCAGCAGCCGCAGUAA